Molecule: ribosomal RNA, 492 nt
Filed under: uncultured bacterium
Lineage: Bacteria
Description: partial 16S ribosomal RNA
Rfam family: Bacterial small subunit ribosomal RNA
Source: RNAcentral
AGUGAACGCUGGCGGUAGGCCUAGCACAUGCAAGUCGAACGGCAGCACAGUAAGAGCUUGCUCUUACGGGUGGCGAGUGGCGGACGGGUGAGGAAUACAUCGGAAUCUACUUUUUCGUGGGGGAUAACGUAGGGAAACUUACGCUAAUACCGCAUACGACCUACGGGUGAAAGCAGGGGAUCUUCGGACCUUGCGCGAUUGAAUGAGCCGAUGUCGGAUUAGCUAGUUGGCGGGGUAAAGGCCCACCAAGGCGACGAUCCGUAGCUGGUCUGAGAGGAUGAUCAGCCACACUGGAAAUGAGACACGGUCCAGACUCCUACGGGAGGCAGCAGUGGGGAAUAUUGGACAAUGGGCGGAAGCCUGAUCCAGCCAUACCGCGUGGGUGAAGAAGGCCUUCGGGUUGUAAAGCCCUUUUGUUGGGAAAGAAAAGCAGCAGGUUAAUACCCCGCUGUUCUGACGGUACCCAAAGAAUAAGCACCGGCUAACUUCGUG